Long non-coding RNA from Felis catus (domestic cat), 1028 nucleotides. RefSeq lists it as uncharacterized. The record is from RefSeq and is a predicted model, not a curated record. The transcript has 3 exons. NCBI's taxonomy places the organism in Eukaryota, Metazoa, Chordata, Mammalia, Carnivora, Felidae.
AAUCACUUAGUCGGGAGGAAGAUAGCUGCGUUGCUAGAAGGAUUCCCAGGCUGCCCUGUGAUACUGACAGCUUUGGCAGCAACCAGUGCUGAAUGGAGGCAUUCUGCCAAUAGCUGUGUGAGUGAGCCAUCUGGAAUGAUGAUCCCCCAGCUCCAGUCACACCUUCAUAUAGCUGCAACCCCUGCCGACAUCUUGAGCAUAGCCUCAUGAAAACCACUGAGCCAGAACCACCCAUGUGAGGCGCUUCCAGGUUCCUGGUUCUCAGAAACUAUGAAAUGCCACACAGAAUUUGCUCCAUGAAGCCCUGAAAAGAACGUCACCAGAACUGAUGGAAAAGAGUGCUUAUUAAGGCUUCCACAAACCGGGACACAGGAGAGUGAGAAGAUGUAGGCUUAGCCUACGUCCUUGCCCCACCCCCUCCUCGCUUCUCCACAGGCCUGGGAGCAGUCUUAUUCUCUAACAUCACAUCUCUUGUCACAUGGAUCCUGUUCCAUGGCUUCAGCUCUUCACCCUCUAGUCCUAAGGGAAGGUAAUAUCUUCCUACGGCUGCUACUCGUUGGUCUUCACAAAUGCUGGCUUGUUCUCUUCACCCUGUCCAUAUUUAAUAAAUUGUUCUUGCAUCAAAUGUUCUCAAACUCUUCUGAGUGUGCCAACCAUUUGCUACUUCAGCCCUGGCAGUAUCCUCCCCAAGAACAGAACUUAAGUGUUCAGUAACUUUAUGUUCCUAGGGUUUAAUACAAUGCCUGGAAGAGAGUGGGCACAUAUGAAAUGCUUUUGGAAUGCAUGAAUAAAGGAGAGCAGUACUAGGGUAGCUACUGUGUAAAAAAAGUAAAUAUAAAAAACACUUACUGAAAUGAAGUUUACAAUCUAAGAAGGAAAACAAUACAGGUGCAGAAAUUCAAAUCACUGUUAAAGAUUGCACAUGGUAAGUAAUGAAUCACAGGCCACCAUGUUCAGGUUCCAGAAAACGGCGUAAUUCCUUACUAGUAGGGAAAAGCUCCCUAACACCAGGUAAAAAGUAUAUAUAU